AAUCAAGAAGCAACAUGUCAUCUAAAGUGACAAGAGGCUCUUCAUAGAACAUACUGAUUCUACUCACGAAUACACUAAUCUAUAAGAAGUUUGAUUGCCCUAAAUCCUUGUCAACACAUGGCAUUGUCAAUCUUUUUAAGAUACACACUGGGGAGCAUCUACAUGAAGAGAACAAACAGGUAGAGCAGCAUGACAAGAAACAGAGAGAUAAGAGAAAUCAAGAGAACAUGGAGUCCUAGAUUCCAAGGAGAGAUGUUCCAGGAGGGCCUGGUACACAUUCAUCUGUAUUCUCACUCACUCAGUCAUCCACACAACAAAUACCACUUGAGUGCUCACUCAUUGCCAGACACAGGGCUGGGUUCCAGGUUCACAAAAGCUUUUCUAUACCCUCUCCUGGAUGAUUAUCUCCUUCCAUAGGUCCAACUACAACUUAUUCUUUAAUCCCUGUCAAAUCAAUGUCCCUUUUCUAUAGGCACUCCCAGGUGCCUAUUUCCAACCAUCUAUCCGUUAUAGCUGGCUAUAUUUCUUUAGUCACUGGGACUCAUAAUAUAUGUAAAUACAUAACACACAUAAAUCUCAGGUCACCUGGGUGGCUGGGUUGGUUAA
Molecule: long non-coding RNA, 606 nt
Organism: Lontra canadensis (Northern American river otter)
Lineage: Eukaryota; Metazoa; Chordata; Mammalia; Carnivora; Mustelidae
Exons: 3
Source: RefSeq, a predicted model, not a curated record